GCCCCCUUAGCUCAGAGGAUAGAGCAGAGGUUUCCUAAACCUUUGGUCCCAGGUUCGACUCCUGGAGGGGGCA
RNAcentral lists this transfer RNA (73 nucleotides) under Caldilineaceae bacterium. Its description in RNAcentral is "tRNA-Arg". It matches the Rfam family "tRNA". From Rfam's summary of the family: Transfer RNA (tRNA) molecules are approximately 80 nucleotides in length. Their secondary structure includes four short double-helical elements and three loops (D, anti-codon, and T loops). The record is from RNAcentral. Lineage: Bacteria; Bacillati; Chloroflexota; Caldilineae; Caldilineales; Caldilineaceae.